This 326-nucleotide RNase P RNA is filed under the name bovine gut metagenome. RNAcentral describes it as "Bacterial RNase P class A". It matches the Rfam family "Bacterial RNase P class A". Rfam says of the family: Ribonuclease P (RNase P) is a ubiquitous endoribonuclease, found in archaea, bacteria and eukarya as well as chloroplasts and mitochondria. Its best characterised activity is the generation of mature 5'-ends of tRNAs by cleaving the 5'-leader elements of precursor-tRNAs. The record is from RNAcentral.
UCGGACGGCCGCGGCGCAUUUUUAAAUGCGGUGAGGAAAGUCCGGGCUUCACAGGGCAGGAAUAACGGCUAACGGCCGCCGGAGGCGACUCCAGGUCAAGCACAACAGAAAUAUACCGCCGGUUUUUCCGGUAAGGGUGGAAAGGCGCGGUAAGAGCGCACCGGUUUUCACGGCAACGCGAAAACCCUGUAAGCACUAUUCGAAGCAACUCAGGCUCCGCAGGCUUGCCCGGCCUAUCAACGGGAAUUGAGGCGUGAGGCGUCCGGCAACGGGCGUCCAAGACAGAUGGCCGUCUUAAAUGACAAAACCCGGCUUACAGAUUCGGU